UCUUCUUCUCAUCCUUUCUCUCCUUGGUUUGAAUAUGCAACCACCAUCAUCUCUCAUCAUAUCUCCCCUAUUUUUGGCAAAGAAGGUGUAACCAAAGGAACCACGGACUCCAAACCCACAAUUCUUGUUAGAAAUGAUGUGGGAAGAUUGCUUCUUAACGCGUUGUUAUAUCCAAGCAUAAAGACAAACUUGCAAAAGAACUCCAUUGUUGCUAUUUUUCAUACUGCCGUACGUUCAUUGUUCAUAUACAAUAGAUUCUGCGGUGGUUCUAACAGUGGGUUAGUGGCUGGUGGUGACGGUUCGACGGCGCCGACGUCGCCGAUGAUGUCACCGAUGAAACCCUCACCCUCCUUCUCCGGCAAACCCUCAUACUCUGGCGAACCCCCACUCCUACUCCAGCGACCCCCCACUCCUACUCCCGCGACCAUCGCGGCCAUCAUCACCGCUCCGAUUGGGGGGUAGCGAGCUCCGAUUUGAUGUUUUGUGGUUGUUGGUGUCCAGAUCUAUGACGUUGGUUCUAACAGUGUUUUGUGGUUGUUGGUGUCCAGAUCUAUGACGUUGGUUCUAACAGUGGGUUAGUGGCUGGUUGUUGGUGUCCAGAUCUAUGACGUUGGUUCUAAACGUAAACCGUAAUUUUUUUUAACAUAAAACGUAAAAAACGUGAAGCGUAAAAAGUUUUACAUAAAACGUUUUACGUAAAAUGUAAAAAGUUUCAACGUAAAACGUAAAAAGUUUUACGUAAAACGUAAAAACUUUAAAGUUUUAACGUAAAAUGUUUAACGUAAAAAUUUUACGUAAAAUAUAAAAAGUUUUAUGUAAAACGUAUAAAUUUUUAACGUAAAACGUACAACAUACAAAUUAUCCCGUAAAACUGUAUAUUUUUUUUUUGGAAAAAAAAACGGGCCGUAAAAUACGGAACGUAAAAAACGGCGCGAAAAUAACGGGGCUAAACGGGGCGUAAAAAAAAUUUGGUAAAACGGGGUGUAAAAAAAUUGGCCGGAGACGGAGCAUAAAAACGACGCCUAAAUAAACGGCGCCUUAAAACACGUGGAAAAAACGGUGCGUUAAAAACGUGGAAAAAUCGGCGCGUUAAAAAGGUGUAAAAAAACGGCGCGUUAAAAAAUGUGAAAAAAUCGGCGCGUUAAAAAACGUGUAAAAAACGGUGCGUUAAAAAAACGUCGAUUGAGAAAAACGGCGUCUUAAAAAAACGGCGCGUUAAAAAGCCCGGUGUGCAAAAACCGGCGCGUAAAAGUUUUUGUUUUGUUCAAAAAAUUUGAAAGUAAAAAUACUUUUCAUAAAAAAAUUCUUUUUAAAAAAUAAAAGUAAUAUAAUAAAACAAAAA
RNAcentral lists this long non-coding RNA (1342 nucleotides) under Helianthus annuus (common sunflower). Its description in RNAcentral is "hypothetical non coding rna". Lineage: Eukaryota; Viridiplantae; Streptophyta; Magnoliopsida; Asterales; Asteraceae. The record is from RNAcentral.